CCUACGGGGGGCAGCAGUGAGGAAUAUUGGUCAAUGGGCGCGAGCCUGAACCAGCCAAGUCGCGUGAGGGAAGACGGUCCUAUGGAUUGUAAACAUCUUUUGUCGGGGAGCAAAAGCCGGACGUGUCCGGCUGUGAGAGUACCCGAAGAAAAAGCAUCGGCUAACUCCGUGCCAGCAGCGGCGGUAAUACGGAGGAUGCGAGCGUUAUCCGGAUUUAUUGGGGUUAAAGGGUGCGCAGGCGGAUUUUUAAGUCAGCGGUCAAAUCGUGGGGCUCAACCCCAUCCAGCCGUUGAAACUGGGGAUCUAGAGUGUGCGAGAGGUAUGCGGAAUGCGUGGUGUAGCGGUGAAAGGCAUAGAUAUCACGCAGAACCCCGAUUGCGAAGGCAGCAUACCGGUGCACAACUGACGCUCAGGCACGAAAGCGUGGGUAUCGAACAGGAUUAGAUACCCGAGUAGUC
Molecule: ribosomal RNA, 458 nt
Filed under: uncultured bacterium
Lineage: Bacteria
Description: partial 16S ribosomal RNA
Rfam family: Bacterial small subunit ribosomal RNA
Source: RNAcentral